Molecule: long non-coding RNA, 932 nt
Organism: Columba livia (rock pigeon)
Lineage: Eukaryota; Metazoa; Chordata; Aves; Columbiformes; Columbidae
Exons: 4
Source: RefSeq, a predicted model, not a curated record
AGAUUAAUUAUUCACUAGGGUGGUAAAGCCUUUACUCAGUCCUGUAGACUGUUUUGUGAAGGAAAAGACAGAGGAAAGGGGCAGAGAGAGGGAGUGAAGGUGUUUCUUUAGAAAGGAAAAAAAAUCACUGACAGGAGUUGGAAAAAGACCAAAAAAAAAAAAAAAAGAUAAAAUUUAAAUUGAAGAGUAAACAAAAUUCAAACCUGCAGAAAGCAAAAUGGAAAGAAAUGGAGGAGAGGAAGGAAAUGAAACCAGGACUGAUUUGUUGCUUUUCUAUCAGAUGAGUCAGAAGAAGGCUGGGUCUGAGCAGGUUCCCGUUUGGAGGCCCAGCUUACAAAAACCAUUGUGAAGCUGACCUGGGCCUGGAGUAAACACACACUUUCUCCUUGGAGCACCUUCUGCUCAGCCUCUCUGCUCUGAUGAACGGGAGGAGCAGAUGUGAACAGCAGCUUUUAAGUGAUUCGGUGGGAACUGGACACGGUUCACACAUGGAGGAAGAGGGAGGGGAGAGUGAAGCAGGGAUCGCUUUUCCUCAGAAAGUUCCUACAUAAAUAACAGCAAGAGCUCCAGGUUCAAACUCUUACUCUCAGAACCAGCAGCAACUUGGACGGAGGAAAAGGGACUGGGCAAGGAACCCCUCAGGUGGCUCUGCUGCAGGCUGAGAGCAGUGUUUGAUUUUCAAGAUAGUGCCUGUGGAGACCGGUGCAAGCAAGAUGAUCUCGCCUUGAAGAUUCAUGUGAUUUAAACAAAUCUUGAAGCGACAGGAAAGCAAAUGGAAUAACUUUCAUUACCCACACAAUGAUUGUGUGCAUCUUAAUUGAUGGAUAUUUAUGAAUGUGCUGUGUCAUCUCCAAAAGAAAGUUGUUACAGAGGAAAGAUGCCAUGAAAAUGCCAGGUUUUCCUGUUAUAAUAUAAAUCUUACACCAUGUACA